Molecule: small nucleolar RNA, 140 nt
Filed under: Vombatus ursinus (common wombat)
Lineage: Eukaryota; Metazoa; Chordata; Mammalia; Diprotodontia; Vombatidae
Description: Small nucleolar RNA SNORA48 (ENSVURG00010009718.1)
Rfam family: Small nucleolar RNA SNORA48
About the family: The snoRNA ACA 48 has been identified to guide pseudouridylation of the residue U3797 in the 28S rRNA subunit. Its host gene EIF4A1 (eukaryotic translation initiation factor 4A1) is shared with U67 and snoRNA mgU6-77
Source: Rfam by way of RNAcentral
CACCCCUGACACUGGGUAGAGAGGCACCUCUUUGGUGGUGGUCUUCUCAUAUCAGUCAGGGGCACAAUAAGCAGUCCAAGUUCAUCCCAGCUUGAUGCUUUGCUCGGUAGCCAUAGCUGGUUCAUGCCCUGGACACAUAA